AAGUAUCUAUUAGCACAGCUAGGCUAGGCUAGCUCCUGAACCCUCUACAGAGUAUCUAUUAGCACAGCUAGGCUAGGCUAGCUCCUGAACCCUCUACAGAGUAUCUAUUAGCACAGCUAGGCUAGCUCCUGAACCCUCUACAGAGUAUCUAUUAGCACAGCUAGGCUAGCUCCUGAACCCUCUACAGAGUAUCUAUUAGCACAGCUAGGCUAGCUCCUGAACCCUCUACAGAGUAUCUAUUAGCACAGCUAGGCUAGCUCCUGAACCAUCUGCACAGCAAAGGACAGCCAACCAAGACAACAAAAGAAGACCGAGAUAGACUUUACUAGAGGAGAGAACAGGGACAUAAGGACAGAGCAAACCUGUAGGCACAGACAUACAGACAGACAGACAGACAGACAGACAGACAGACA
Clupea harengus (Atlantic herring) is the source of this 413-nucleotide long non-coding RNA. The record is from Ensembl. Lineage: Eukaryota; Metazoa; Chordata; Actinopteri; Clupeiformes; Clupeidae.